Molecule: unclassified non-coding RNA, 240 nt
Filed under: soil metagenome
Description: partial contains 5.8S ribosomal RNA, internal transcribed spacer 2, and large subunit ribosomal RNA
Source: RNAcentral
AACGCACGAGACCUGCGGACCUGCGGAGGGAUCAUUAACGAGUUAGGGUCCCUAACCGGCCCGACCUCCCAACCCUGUGUCUAUCGCACCUUUUGUUGCUUCGGCGGGCCCGUUCCCCUUGGGGGACCGCCGGGGGACCGUCGAGAGACGUCCCCUGGCCCGCGCCCGCCGGUGGCCAACCUUUAACAAACUCUUAAACAAUGAAUCGUGUAUUCUCGUGUCUAAGUCCUUGAUUAAAUC